This is an RNA transcript of Panicum virgatum (switchgrass), 2176 nucleotides long. RefSeq lists it as uncharacterized. The transcript has 4 exons. Lineage: Eukaryota; Viridiplantae; Streptophyta; Magnoliopsida; Poales; Poaceae. The record is from RefSeq and is a predicted model, not a curated record.
CCGGCAUCCCCGUCUUCCUCCUUUCCUGCUCCGUCCGCGUCCUAUCCCACGACUCGGGACGGUUCCUGCCCGCGCGCCCCUCCUGCUCGGCGCCGCCGCUCCCGCCCCGCGCUCGCCGACGCCAUCACGUGGGCCGCCUCUCCUCCGCCGGCCCGCGCGCCCGUCCUGCGCCUCCCCACGCAAGUAGCUGGUCCGCGCCGCCCGCCUCGCCGCCGUCACGCCGCCUCAAUCGCAAUCCCCUCCGUCCCCUCACGACGCCCUACUCCUCGCCCCGAGCUGGUCCGCGCCGCCGCCAUCGCGUCAUCCAGCCAUCCCCGCCCCGCCCCGCCAAAUCGAGGUGCCCCUGGUUGCCGCCGUGAGGGGUCCCUGUCCGCUUGCACAAAGAAGGCGGGUCCCCGUCAGCUUGUCGCCUCCCCGCGCGCCAGCUCGCCGUCGACCUGCCCACCGAUCCGCUCGCGCCGCCCUCGCUCUCGCCCUCCCCAUCUCGCUCGCCGACACCGCCGCUCCGCCGUCCCGCUUGUGGUUGGCUCAUUGGUUCUAGGUUGCAGGCCGUCUGGGAUCAGUCACAGCAGAAGGUGGAGGGUUCGACUGGUCUGGCGUCCAUGGCUACGGACCAGGUUCCUCACGCUCGUGAUUUAUCUUUUGCUUCAGUGGUGCCUGAGGACGUUGCCCACCCUGUGUUCGAUGAAAUGUCUCCUCUAGAUGUAGUCUGGGAUAAGAAAGUGCAGCAUGGGUUCGAUUCAGAUGGCUUGUUGCAGCAGUUAGCUCUGUGGACUGGCGAGCAGGUCUCGUUGAUGGUUUCAGUCAUGUUCGAGGAAAUGCAUCAAGGUGGAGAGGACUUGAUUGGCAAGGAAAAGAAGCCAACUGCAGAGUUCAGUCAUAUCAGUGCUGCUUCCCUUCCCGUAGAGCUAUACGUUGAUCUGGGGUGCUUGAGGUAUCACAGUGACGUGGUACAGUAUGAGGAUUUGUCUUCUCACCUCGACACACACCAUAGCCAGCAAUCAGCUUACUUGGUUGAUGAAGAUAGCAAGUCAAUUAACCAGUCAUCCAUCAGCAACAUGCUCAGUCAGGAGAAAUGCUCUUAUUUCAUUUUGGAUUCUGGCAUCAAUGAGAUGGAUUUGAUGCUUGUUGGAAUAGCUCUUGAGGAGGCCAAUGCAGCAGCUUAUGCUGAGCCAGCCAUGUUCAGAUAUGAGAUGGAAAGAGAGCAUGAUGCAGGCAAGCUGUUUUGUGAAAUGGCCAACGAGAUUGUGUGGGGUGACAUUCCAUCUGACAUUGAGACAUGAAAACUUAUUGCAGCUUGUCAUGGGUGCGAAGGACCUGAAGGAUGAGAAGAUAAAGCUAUGUCUUCGGCUUAUUGAUGAUGAGGUACUUAAUACUGUUGACAGGCCACCAUUAUUUGAUAAAGCAUGGCAUAGUUUCUGCUGCUUAGACGUUUGAUAAGUUGUAUUGUAUUGCAUCUUGAUACAAUAUAGGCCCAAUGAAGUACCAUAGCAGUACGGCACUCCACCAUUCCACAUAGAGCUUUGAUGAAAUUUCUUUCGCCCAUGCUAUGUGAAAUACAUGUUGUUCUUGGAUAUACCGACAUUGACACCAAUGCCCAGUACCAUAACAAACAUGCUGUUGUUAGAGAUCAUACCAGUGUCUGUUGCAGUUGUAUGGGCCCAACAACAUAACCGCUUUGGCUUACUGCAAUCAGUACUCUGCUUUUGCUCACUGUGCCAUCAGUAUUGGUGCUGCCUAGCCGUCGCGCACAAGUAACAAGCCCUCCUCACAAGUCACCACCAUCGUGCCCUCUGCAAUGCCCGAGCAUGCCAUCAUGGGAAGGGAGAGGGGAGACCAAUAGGAAUCAAGUAAUGGAGAGCUGAUGUUGUCUUCUAGGUCAGUAAAAAGGAAGCAUGUGAUGGGUGGACAGAUUUCAUCACAGAAUAGUACAGGCAACUGGAGGUGUGCGAUCAAGCUGUGCGAUCUGGGCUAAUGGAUCGCUCCGAGCUACUGAAGAUGUCAAGAAGCUCAUCGAGGCUGAAGGGGGUGAAACAUGGAAGGAGUAUGAAAUUUUUAAGUACAAGAGAUAAAAUGCUGAUAAUGCAUUUGAACUUCUUAUUAAAAUGUUUUUUCUCUACAAAUGACAAAGAGUGCCCAUUUAAUAUAUUUGCUACAUGCUAUUUGUUCCUUGUCU